This 434-nucleotide ribosomal RNA is filed under the name uncultured bacterium. RNAcentral describes it as "partial 16S ribosomal RNA". It matches the Rfam family "Bacterial small subunit ribosomal RNA", at positions 29 to 507 of the family's 1533-position model. The record is from RNAcentral.
AGCGAACGCUGGCGGCAGGCCUAACACAUGCAAGUCGAACGAACCUUUCGGGGUUAGUGGCGGACGGGUGAGUAACACGUGGGAACGUGCCUUUAGGUUCGGAAUAACUCAGGGAAACUUGUGCUAAUACCGAAUGUGCCCUUCGGGGGAAAGAUUUAUCGCCUUUAGAGCGGCCCGCGUCUGAUUAGCUAGUUGGUUGAGGUAAUGGCUCACCAAGGCGACGAUCAGUAGCUGGUCUGAGAGGAUGAUCAGCCACAUUGGGACUGAGACACGGCCCAAACUCCUACGGGAGGCAGCAGUGGGGAAUCUUGCGCAAUGGGCGAAAGCCUGACGCAGCCAUGCCGCGUGAAUGAUGAAGGUCUUAGGAUUGUAAAAUUCUUUCACCGGGGACGAUAAUGACGGUACCCGGAGAAGAAGCCCCGGCUAACUCCGUG